RNAcentral lists this ribosomal RNA (238 nucleotides) under uncultured bacterium. RNAcentral describes it as "partial 16S ribosomal RNA". It matches the Rfam family "Bacterial small subunit ribosomal RNA", at positions 96 to 334 of the family's 1533-position model. The record is from RNAcentral.
CGGCGGACGGGUGAGUAACGCGUGGGUAACCUGCCUCAUACAGGGGGAUAACAGUUAGAAAUGACUGCUAAUACCGCAUAAGACCACGGUACCGCAUGGUACAGUGGUAAAAACUCCGGUGGUAUGAGAUGGACCCGCGUCUGAUUAGGUAGUUGGUGGGGUAACGGCCUACCAAGCCGACGAUCAGUAGCCGACCCGAGAGGGUGAUCGGCCACAUUGGGACUGAGACACGGCCCAG